CAGUCGCCACGGUAAUACGAAGGGGGCUAGCGUUGUUCGGAAUCACUGGGCGUAAAGGGUGCGUAGGCGGAUUCUUAAGUCAGGGGUGAAAUCCCGAGGCUCAACCUCGGAACUGCCUUUGAUACUGGGGAUCUUGAGUCCGGAAGAGGUGAGUGGAACUGCGAGUGUAGAGGUGAAAUUCGUAGAUAUUCGCAAGAACACCAGUGGCGAAGGCGGCUCACUGGUCCGGAACUGACGCUGAGGCACGACAGCGUGGGGAGCAAACAGGAUUAGAGACCCCCGUAGUCCCUGUCUCUUAUAC
RNAcentral lists this ribosomal RNA (301 nucleotides) under uncultured bacterium. RNAcentral describes it as "partial 16S ribosomal RNA". It matches the Rfam family "Bacterial small subunit ribosomal RNA", at positions 509 to 807 of the family's 1533-position model. The record is from RNAcentral.